Molecule: small nucleolar RNA, 222 nt
Filed under: Oryza sativa (Asian cultivated rice)
Lineage: Eukaryota; Viridiplantae; Streptophyta; Magnoliopsida; Poales; Poaceae
Description: box C/D snoRNA J24.2
Source: RNAcentral
CGCUGGGAUAGUCCCUGAAGAGGGCGGCGAAGUGGUCGGCCUCGGCGGCGGACACGGUCGGGAAUACGGUGACGACGGAGAUGUCGACGUCGUGGGCGGACAGCGCGCCGAUGAAGCGGAAGAACUGGAGGAGGUGGCCCAUGCCGGCGCUCGGGACGAACACGACGUGCGGCCGUGUGUGCCCUCGCGCGCCGAGCUCACCGGAGCUGAGCACCGUAGGCG